AUACGUAGGUGACAAGCGUUAUCCGGAUUUACUGGGCGUAAAGGGCGUGUAGGCGGUCUUGCAAGUCAGAAGUGAAAUUCCUGAGCUCAACUCGGGCGCUGCUUCUGAAACUGCAGGACUUGAGUGCUGGAGGGGAUAGCGGAAUUCCUAGUGGAGCGGUAAAAUGCGCAGAUAUUAAGAAGAACACCGUUGGCGAAGGCGGCAUUCUGCCCAGUAACAGGCAGUUACGCCAGAAAGCGUGGGAAGCAAGCAGGAUUAUAUUCCCUGGUGGUCCACGCCGGAAACGAUGAAUACUAGGUGUAGGGGGUAUCGACUCCCUCUGUGCCGCAGUUAACACAAUAAGUAUUCCGCCUGGGGAGUACGGCCGCAAGCUUGAAACUCAACGGAAAUGACGGGG
RNAcentral lists this ribosomal RNA (397 nucleotides) under uncultured bacterium. Its description in RNAcentral is "partial 16S ribosomal RNA". It matches the Rfam family "Bacterial small subunit ribosomal RNA", at positions 523 to 918 of the family's 1533-position model. The record is from RNAcentral.